ACUGCACUUGCAUACAGUUAGCAUUCACAAUAGUGUUAUCUGUUCUCAAAGUGCACAAAGCAAAGCGAAUCGGUCGCCUUUUCUGGGAACUGUUCCCUAAAAAGUGAAACCCGCUUCCGACAAUU
Small nucleolar RNA from Uloborus diversus, 125 nucleotides. RefSeq annotates it as small nucleolar RNA SNORA68. NCBI's taxonomy places the organism in Eukaryota, Metazoa, Arthropoda, Arachnida, Araneae, Uloboridae. The record is from RefSeq and is a predicted model, not a curated record. The transcript has a single exon.